This 253-nucleotide ribosomal RNA is filed under the name uncultured bacterium. Its description in RNAcentral is "partial 16S ribosomal RNA". It matches the Rfam family "Bacterial small subunit ribosomal RNA", at positions 524 to 776 of the family's 1533-position model. The record is from RNAcentral.
UACAGAGGUCUCAAGCGUUGUUCGGAUUCAUUGGGCGUAAAGGGUGCGUAGGCGGCGCGGUAAGUCGGGUGUGAAAUCUCGGAGCUUAACUCCGAAACUGCAUUCGAUACUGCCGUGCUUGAGGACUGGAGAGGAGACUGGAAUUUACGGUGUAGCGGUGAAAUGCGUAGAUAUCGUAAGGAAGACCAGUUGCGAAGGCGGAUCUCUGGGCAGUUCCUGACACUGAGGCACGAAGGCCAGGGGAGCAAACGGG